This 227-nucleotide ribosomal RNA is filed under the name uncultured bacterium. RNAcentral's name for it is "partial 16S ribosomal RNA". It matches the Rfam family "Bacterial small subunit ribosomal RNA", at positions 112 to 334 of the family's 1533-position model. The record is from RNAcentral.
CGAACGUACGCAACCUUCCCAUAACAGGUGAAUAGCCUUCCGAAAGGGAGAUUAAUACACCGUAACAUAAUGAAGAGGCAUCUUUUUAUUAUUAUAGGCAGCAAUGUCGGUUUUGGAUGGGCGUGCGCCUGAUUAGGUAGUUGGUGAGGGUAACGGCCCACCAAGCCUGCGAUCAGUAACUGGUGUGAGAGCACGACCAGUCACACGGGCACUGAGACACGGGCCCG